This is a long non-coding RNA of Cyprinus carpio (common carp), 1268 nucleotides long. RefSeq lists it as uncharacterized. NCBI's taxonomy places the organism in Eukaryota, Metazoa, Chordata, Actinopteri, Cypriniformes, Cyprinidae. The transcript has 5 exons. The record is from RefSeq and is a predicted model, not a curated record.
GUGUGUUAAACGUGCUUAUUUGAGAGUGGUUUUGCGUUCCCUGAUGCUCUGACCGAGGCAGCAGGAGAGCGUACAGCCAGACUGGACAUGUCUGAUGCUCUGGAGCUCAGUGAGAGAACAUACCUGGAGCUAGCGCGCGUGCUGCAUGAGGCUCUGGAGCUCAGCGACAGUGAGCUGUCAGGCUGUGCUAGUUUAAAGCACCUACCUCCCGACGAGAGACAGCACAUAGUCUCUAUGAGACAAACAGACCUGGAGUUUUUGAGAACCCGCCUUGAUCUACAGAACAGACAAAGCCAACAGCAAGAGCUACUGCUGCAGGAAAACCAGAGAGAGAUACACACACACUCAGAGAGAGCCAGGUGCUGGAGUACCAGAUGCAGUCUGAGCUUGAGAGUGUGAAGGCAGAACUGGAGACUCAGAGAAAAGAGACGGAACAACUUCGGCUAGCUCUACAGGACAGCAUCAACCAGCUGCAGAGAAACCAGCAGGAAUGCAGUGUUACCAACUGAAAUAAUAGGAGCCUUAGUAUGGAGAGAACGGACAGAAAGUGUGGAAGAGUGGGCCAUCACAACUGUAUACCAAAUGAAAGCUAUGCAAAGGCUCCAGCAGUGAAGAAACGGACCUCACAGAUAAGACUGAAAAGGAGAGAGAGUGAGCUAGAUCAGGGGUUUUCAAACUGUGGAUGGAGCAAGGUGGGUCCCACACUCACUUGGCUGCAGCUAAAUUUGCGUUUAAAUGACACACACUCACACAGUUCAGUCUAGGGCUGCACGAUAUAGCCUACCAAUAUUAAUUACGAAUUGCAAUAUCCUUAGUGUGAUUUUCGAAUUGCAAUUAAGUCAAUUAAGUGCAAUUGCGUGUUUUGAAGCACGGGCACGCACGAGUUGUAAUUACAGUGAGGGUCUCAGAGCAACGUCAUUAUUAAAAGGUUCAAUCGGUCCGCAUUAUUAAUGAGAAAAAAAAAAACUCGCUCACUUCCAUGCGCUGUAUUCUGCAUGAGAUUGCAUACACCAGAAAAUUCAAAUGUUACGGAAAUGGUUUCAGGUAGGCUAUGUUCAUUCAUUUCUAUCGUCUGUUUGAACUGCACUGUUUUCGUUCGGGAAACAGACUGUAAAAGCAUUUCACAUAUAGGCUACCGGGUUAGCAGGGCAUACACGUAGGGUUAAUUGUAACACUACGAGAUUUAAACAUUUCCACAUAACAAAAUUUACAAAAUUUCCUUGACAUAUCAUCUCUAUAUAGAGAAAAAAAAGUUAAAAAAUCUUUUG